This 261-nucleotide ribosomal RNA is filed under the name uncultured archaeon. RNAcentral's name for it is "partial 16S ribosomal RNA". It matches the Rfam family "Archaeal small subunit ribosomal RNA", at positions 748 to 1006 of the family's 1478-position model. The record is from RNAcentral.
CAGCCCUAAACGAUGCGCGUUAGGUGUAUCGGUGACCACGAGUCACCGAGGUGCCGAAGGGAAACCGUGAAACGUGCCGCCUGGGAAGUACGGUCGCAAGGCUGAAACUUAAAGGAAUUGGCGGGGGGAGCACCACAACGGGUGGAGCCUGCGGUUUAAUUGGACUCAACGCCGGGAAGCUCACCGGAUAAGACAGCGGAAUGAUUGCCGGGCUGAAGACCCUGCAUGACCAGCUGAGAGGUGGUGCAUGGCUAGUCGUGU